This is a non-coding RNA of Microcebus murinus (gray mouse lemur), 2578 nucleotides long. The record is from RefSeq and is a predicted model, not a curated record. Lineage: Eukaryota; Metazoa; Chordata; Mammalia; Primates; Cheirogaleidae.
GUGAGUUAUAUGCAGUGCAAUCCACAUUUUUAAAUUGUAAGUAUUAAGUGUAACAAUAAGAACAUCAAGAAGUAAGAUUUUCAUAAACCAACUUCAGGGCUUUGCUUCACGAAGCCCCAGGCUCAAAACUAUCCUGAGUUAAAUACAACUCACGUGGCAGUUAUUAGACUGAACCCAGAGGCUGGUGGGAGGUUCUAGGGAAACUUUCCCUUUCAACUGGCCCCAUCCCUUUGAGGGCCUCCCAAAUCUGACUAUAAAGCCCUAGAUGGCCGCCAUUUCGGGGCUGGUGCCAUCUUGGCCAUAGCCAGUCUGUACACAGACGUUAAAAUAAACUUUCUUUUCCUUCAUCUUCGCCUCAUGCAUUCCUCCCUUGGUGUUUCUAAUAGCAGCCAAUGUUAAAGUAACUUGGAGAGUUCUGACAUCAUGUUUGAAAUGGUAAUAGCUUUUGGAUCCCCUCUGGUAUCGUCACAACCAAUAGACAUCUAUGUCUGGAGGUUGAAAACCACUUGAUUGAAUGAUCUGUUAGCUCAUAUCCAGUUCUAAUCUUCUCUGACCACCUGAUAACUUUAGUGCCCCAUGCCAUAAAAUAUAGGCAGAGAAAGAUGACGGAAAAGGAAAGAGUCCACUGGGAGUCUGACACUGCAGGCAAUUAAUGUGGAUCUGGGGGACCUCUAUGAGGAUGUGAGAUGGGGAAGAGGGGAUCCCCUCAUUCCAGGGCACCUGCACAAAGUUCCUGCAGAGGGAAAUGAAGAUGCUUUGCCUUGGAGCAAAUUUCCUUGUGACUUAGGCUUCUUGCGCCAUGUCUGGGAGAAUUUUUAGGUUGUACUCACAACAUUGGGAGAGGAAAAGGGAGCAGGAAUGGAACGGCUGUGCAACCAUUCAUUCUCUUCUCACCUCUUCCACCGUACGAUCUCACUCUAUGGGGAGGAAUGGGCAGUCAGAAGCCUUGUCCAGGUCUAUAACAGUGGGUCUCAGAUCUGAGGUUUGCAGAAUCAGAGAGUGAAAUAAAGGACAGGCUUACUGCUGCCUGCUGCCAUGGCAGUGCUAGCAUUCUUGUUUCUAAGGCAAUAAGCUCACAAUGUGCUUGGGGGCAGCACCACCCACAGUGGUGUUGUGGAGCACAUGUGUUGGGGGGUGGAUGGCUGUGACGAUGACGGGAGGUGGACAUACUAGCAUUGUGUGCCCUGCUGUGAGCUAAAGACACUGCCAUAAUGAAGACUCAUCUCACCCAAAAUGUCAAAAGCAUGUCCAUUGAGAAAUCCUGAAUAUGAGAAUGGGAUUUAAAUUCUUACAUAUACAGAAUUAUUUGGAAGUUGUAAGAGGAUUCAAGUCACCCUAGACAACUUCCUAUAGUGCUAGAUCGUCAGACAGAAUGUCUAGAUGGAGGAGGUUCAUUCUAACAGCUCCCAGAUAAAAGGAAAGAGCAGAGGCCGCUGCAGAAGGCACUGGGCAACCCACCCCAAGGUACUGAUGCCUUUCUUGGAAAACACCCGCGUCUGCGUCCUCCCCUCGCUGUGCAAAGACCAGGGAGAGCGAGCGCCAGGACAGGCGUGUCCUCCCAGGAUGCGGGAGAGACACCAGAGUGUGACCUCGUCUGGACAUAAGGUCAUUGCUGUAAUCAGUUGACAUGAAGUCAUCAGGGUGGAUCUCUAAUCCAAGACGACUGCAGUUGUUAUAAAAAGGAGGAAUGUGGACAGACAUGUGCACAGGGAGAACACAUGAACAUGAAGGGUGUACGGUGAUGCUCCUAUAGCCAAGGAAGCAAGAGAUCGCCACCAAACAUCAGAAGUUAGAGGAGAGGCGUAGGUUCCCCCUUGCAGCCCUUAGAAGGAACCGACCAUCCUGGUAUCUUCAUCUCAGACUUUUCGUCUCUAGGACUGGGAGACAAUAAACGCCUGUCAUUUAAGCCACUCAGUUUGUGUUGCUUUCUUUCCAGAAGCCCUAGCAAACCAGUAUGCUCAGGGACACUUCGGUGAAAUAUCAGAAAGGAAUGGCAGCCAGCAUCUGGCAUGAUCAUGGUGCACUUUGCAAACAGGAAAGGGAUGGACCUAAUCUAACCUUUUUAAAAAUUAGAUCAUGGGUAUUAUUUUUCCCCUAUACUUUUUAAUUUUCCAUCUGGGAAAAAAACACAACCUAUCUGAAUUUAGGUGCAUAUAGCACUAAAUUGAAAAGACACAAAGGGAUUUAGACUGAAACACAAGUCCCCUGUUUGUCUUCAGUCCCAGCCACCCAAUUCCCCUCCCCAGAGCCAACCUUUUUUAAUGUAUAUAAAUAUGUAUAUUUCAUUUUUUUCAUAUAAAUAGUCAUAGACUAUAAACAUCACUUCACUAUAGAUGUUGGAGAUAAUUCCCUGUUAGAAUACACGAACGUGCCUCAUUCUUUUUGAUGACUGCAUAGUAUUUCUUUGACGGAUAUAUUUUCUGCCCAUUCUUAAUAAAUUCUCAGCUGAAUCUCUUGAUCGAGACAAACAGAAAUCAUCUCCAAAGUAACCCCUUCACAGCCUGCAUGGGGCUGAGCCUUCCCACUGCUCUCUCCCCUGCUAAAUAGAUGGAUACUCUUUUCUAGCUGAGGUCGUUAG